CUCCACUUCUGGAGAGUAGGCUCCCUUCCUGAUUGCACAGAGAGCUGUUGUCUGGGACAGUGAUCUAUUCUGACUCCCUGGCCACGUGGAUUCAGGUGCACCCCGCCACCUAUUGGCAGGCAACGAUCAUUAUAGGAGAAGAAAAAUUGUGGAUACCAUCAAAAUUAAUAAAGAUUCGAUUUGAAAAGGAGAAACCUCUUGGAAAGAUGAAAUGACAGCUCAUCCACAAUGAUGAUAUUCAUACAGGUGGUAAGAAAAACAUAUAGAAUGGGGGUAGGGUUCUGUUCUUAUUUCCACAGGAAAAUAUUCAUCUUUGAAAAAU
This is a long non-coding RNA of Alexandromys fortis (reed vole), 322 nucleotides long. RefSeq lists it as uncharacterized. The transcript has 3 exons. Lineage: Eukaryota; Metazoa; Chordata; Mammalia; Rodentia; Cricetidae. The record is from RefSeq and is a predicted model, not a curated record.